Molecule: long non-coding RNA, 548 nt
Filed under: Arabidopsis lyrata
Lineage: Eukaryota; Viridiplantae; Streptophyta; Magnoliopsida; Brassicales; Brassicaceae
Description: long non-coding RNA (ALYR_LNC002346)
Source: RNAcentral
UUUUGCCGUCUAAAGAUCUUUAUUAAUGAAAAGGAAUAAAAAAUCCAACAAAACAAAACAUCCAAUAUCAAAAAACAGAACCCCACAGAACAGGGCAAUCAUAGUUUGAAAAUCUUUCCAUCUCUUUCAUCUUCGCUUUUCCGCUUCAAGCCGUGAACUUAACCACGCCGGACCACCACGACUUUCCUCUUUUUUAAGAUCAAAAGUUCUUGUUUUGUCUAGUGCUGAUUAAACAAAAAAAUUAGUACAAAAGCCAAAAAUUUUAAAGUAGCCAAUAGACAAUAUAUAAAAUCUCAUUACGAGAUUCUAACAUCUACAUGGCUUUAUCAAAGAAAGUUGGAAAUACACUUGUAGCUUUUUUCAAAAACAUGGUUGGAUUAGUGAAUAUGAUCGUCAAGUUAGCCGAGUGUAACAAUAUUCACUUUGUUCUAGAGUUAUCAUAAAAACAGAUGAAUAAAACCUGGUGAUUGUUUUAUCGAAUUUGAAUUUAAAAGAAUUUUCAUUAUGUGAAAGACCUACAAAUCGCCAUAAACUAUUUAAAAUCCUUC